Non-coding RNA from Camellia sinensis, 843 nucleotides. The record is from RefSeq and is a predicted model, not a curated record. NCBI's taxonomy places the organism in Eukaryota, Viridiplantae, Streptophyta, Magnoliopsida, Ericales, Theaceae.
AAUUAAGAGAGAAAAUCGAGCAAACCAAAAGAGAGUGAGAGAUGUGAGGCGGAGAGACCGUCUUUCUCGGUGUGAGCGAGGGAGACGAGAAAGUGGCUGAGUGAGGAUAGUAUGAGCUCCUCCUCUAUUGUAAUCUUUCUGUAAUUUCUCCAUUGUUAUAAUGAUAACUGGUUACUCUCUCGUGGACGUAGCCAUUGAGGCCAAACCACAUUAAAUAUGGUGUUUCCUUGAGUGUGAGUGUGAGUGUGUUUUACUGCUUGGUAUGAUUUCUAUAAGGUUUUGGGUGAGAUCCCCGAUCCCAUCAAUAUAUACCUUGUUGAAGAGGGUAUGGGUUGAAGAUUUGAAGGAACACAAAGCCAAAGUCUGCAAAUUCAGCUGAACAAUUAUGUCCAUCAAGCCCGGAAUAUUCCAAUAGUGCCCGCGAUUUGUAACAUCGCGCCUGCGAGAAAGUCGCGAUGAAAUCAAGCUCUCAGUAUCUUAGUUUAGUUCAUCUCUGUGCCCGCGAACAUGACAUCGCGCUUGCAAUAUAUAGGCAUGGCGACCACGAACUGGAAGCAACUAGGCCGCGACCAGGCCACAAGGAAAACAAGCUCUUAGUACUUUUCUCUGCAACCCGCAAAGGGGUCUCGCACCCGUAACCAGCAGUCUCGCACCCGCAACCAGCAGUCUUGCACCCGCGACCAAAAGUCUCGCACCUGCAAUGAUCUUAUGUCUAUAUAUACCAUGCUCGGUCGUGUUGUUAAUUAAUUCCUUGAGUCUGUAAUCUUUUAGUGUCUUUACUGAGAGAGUGCUGUAGUAAGGUUAAUUAUAUAUUUCUCUAAUGUUUACUUGACGAUUCAACUA